Molecule: unclassified non-coding RNA, 304 nt
Filed under: uncultured fungus
Lineage: Eukaryota; Fungi
Description: sequence contains ITS2
Source: RNAcentral
AACGCACAUUGCGCCUUAAGGUAUUCCUCAAGGCAUGCCUGUUUGAGAAUCAGUAAACCUCUCAAAUCUAUCUUGAUGGUGGAUUUGGACUUGGAAAUUCUUGAUAAAGAUUUCUUAAUUGAAUUUGUUGCUUAUUGAUGCUAGCUGGAUAGUAUGAAAGGCAUGACCAAUGAACGCAAGUUCUUUGAUUGCAACUAGUCUAUUUAAGCUUUUUCUAUGUGGCACAAAUUAAACUUCACGAAGGCGCGUCAAAACGCCUUUAAGACUUGAUCUCAAAUCAGACAAGACUACCCGCUGAACUUAA